RNAcentral lists this ribosomal RNA (1004 nucleotides) under Pedobacter kribbensis. Its description in RNAcentral is "bacterial SSU rRNA". It matches the Rfam family "Bacterial small subunit ribosomal RNA", at positions 31 to 1037 of the family's 1533-position model. Lineage: Bacteria; Pseudomonadati; Bacteroidota; Sphingobacteriia; Sphingobacteriales; Sphingobacteriaceae. The record is from RNAcentral.
CUACGCUAGCGGCAGGCCUAAUACAUGCAAGUCGAACGAGAUUAAGGGGCUUGCUCCUUAUGAAAGUGGCGCACGGGUGCGUAACGCGUAUGCAACCUACCUUAAUCAGGGGGAUAGCCCGAAGAAAUUCGGAUUAACACCGCAUAAAAACACAGGAUAGCAUUAUCCAAUGUUCAAAUAUUUAUAGGAUUAAGAUGGGCAUGCGUGUCAUUAGCUAGUUGGCGGGGUAACGGCCCACCAAGGCGACGAUGACUAGGGGAUCUGAGAGGAUGACCCCCCACACUGGUACUGAGACACGGACCAGACUCCUACGGGAGGCAGCAGUAAGGAAUAUUGGUCAAUGGAGGGAACUCUGAACCAGCCAUGCCGCGUGCAGGAAGACUGCCCUAUGGGUUGUAAACUGCUUUUAUCCGGGAAUAAACCUACUUACGUGUAAGUAGCUGAAUGUACUGGAAGAAUAAGGAUCGGCUAACUCCGUGCCAGCAGCCGCGGUAAUACGGAGGAUCCAAGCGUUAUCCGGAUUUAUUGGGUUUAAAGGGUGCGUAGGCGGCCUGUUAAGUCAGAGGUGAAAGACGGUAGCUCAACUAUCGCAGUGCCUUUGAUACUGACGGGCUUGAAUGAACUAGAGGUAGGCGGAAUGAGACAAGUAGCGGUGAAAUGCAUAGAUAUGUCUCAGAACACCGAUUGCGAAGGCAGCUUACUAUGGUUUUAUUGACGCUGAGGCACGAAAGCGUGGGGAUCAAACAGGAUUAGAUACCCUGGUAGUCCACGCCCUAAACGAUGAAUACUCGCUGUUAGCGAUAUACAGUUAGCGGCUAAGCGAAAGCGUUAAGUAUUCCACCUGGGGAGUACGCUCGCAAGAGUGAAACUCAAAGGAAUUGACGGGGGCCCGCACAAGCGGAGGAGCAUGUGGUUUAAUUCGAUGAUACGCGAGGAACCUUACCCGGGCUUGAAAGUUAGUGAAUUAUUCAGAGAUGAAUAAGUGAGCAAUCACACGAAACUAG